UACGGGGGGGGCAAGCGUUGUUCGGAAUUACUGGGCGUAAAGGGCUCGUAGGCGGCCAACUAAGUCAGACGUGAAAUCCCUCGGCUUAACCGGGGAACCGCAUCUGAUACUGGAUGGCUUGAGUUCGGGAGAGGGAUGCGGAAUUCCAGGUGUAGCGGUGAAAUGCGUAGAUAUCUGGAGGAACACCGGUGGCGAAGGCGGCAUCCUGGACCGGUAUUGACGCUGAGACGCGAAAGCGUGGGGAGCGAACAGG
This 253-nucleotide ribosomal RNA is filed under the name uncultured bacterium. RNAcentral's name for it is "partial 16S ribosomal RNA". It matches the Rfam family "Bacterial small subunit ribosomal RNA", at positions 524 to 776 of the family's 1533-position model. The record is from RNAcentral.